Molecule: RNA transcript, 2994 nt
Organism: Panicum virgatum (switchgrass)
Lineage: Eukaryota; Viridiplantae; Streptophyta; Magnoliopsida; Poales; Poaceae
Gene name: condensin-2 complex subunit H2-like
Exons: 12
Source: RefSeq, a predicted model, not a curated record
CGCCUCCCUCCCCUCCCGUCGCCUCCCUCCGUCCCUCGGUACCUCCAAACGCCGCCCGAUCUGCGCCCUCCGCCGCCCACCGGCGCUUGCUCCGGGCCUCCGGUGCGCCACCCCGCCGCCGGAAGGGGCCUCCUCGCCCUCACCUCCCCCUCCGGAGACGCGUCCCCGGACCUCGCCGUCGCCACCCUCUUCCUGCAUGCCCGGUCGGCGCCGCCGGCUACCCUGCAGGCCGGCAUUGCCCCUGGAGGCUAGAGGUCGGCGGCCCCUGCUCCCUGAGGUUGGCGCCCCCUGCUUCUGGAACCGGGUUUCUAGCCCUAAUCCCGCAAAAAAGAUGUUUUCUUGGGCCUAGCAGCCUCUAGCCUGGGACGGAGGCAUGGACGGCGGCUUACGGGAGGUGGGCUCGAACAGCGGGAGGUUCCCGAUUCUGCAGGCGAAUAGGGAUCCCGAGUCGAAUUGGGAGGUGGACGUUGCCAAGAGCCUCGAGGAGUACCUGCUCAAGAUCUGCUCAGGGGAGGUCUCCGGCGAGGACGGGGCCCACUCUGUCAACUUUGCCGAAGCCGCAUUAUUACUCCAAGGAUCGGUUCAAGUGUACAGUAGGAAGGUGGAGUUCUUGUACUCGUUGGUGCUUCAUGCGUUAGAGUUCCUUUCGCAAAAGAAGCAGGAUCAACUGGAAAAUGGCUCAGCUCAAGCUAAUCAAAGUGACCCUAGCACGAUUGCCAAUGAAGAAGAUGAUAUAUUUAUGGGGUUAGAUGAUGUCCCUGCGGAAUCAAGGACAUCUCUGAAUAACAAUGUCAAUCGAGAUGGUUUACGAAGCAAAAUUGUGAGGCCACCAGCAAAUCUACUGGUGUUUGAAGGGGACUGUCUGGAUAGUGAAGCGAGUGAGCUAGACACAUAUUUGUUAGCAACAUGUGAUUUUUAUGGAGAUUUCCUCCUGCUGGAUCCUUGUGAUGCACCAGCUGUUUUUGACUUCCUGCAAGGAAAACAUUCUGGUAAAGAAAAUAGUGUGGCUCAUCAAGGCAGUUCAGCACCUUCUAAAAGCCGAGCCAAUGUUUUCACUUCCCCAAAUGCUAGAUCAGCGGGCACAGGUCGUAAAUCGUCCGCUGGAAAAGUCUUAGGAGGUCUAGAUCCAACCCAGGGGAAUCCUGACCAAUCUUCAACUCAAGAAACCAUUCCUGAUGACAACCAUUGGUCUGAUCCUGUUGAACCUAGCUUUGCUGAUGAUGUUGAAAUGCCUCACCCAGAUGAUAUAGAGGAUCCUGUUGGAGAUUAUUCUGAUGAUGAGGAUCCAUGGAAACCUUUGAAUCCACAUGAACCUGGCAACCUAAAGAUUCGGCCUUACCGAAGAGUGAAAGGUUCUCCACGGGCGGUUAUUGGCACUUCGAAAAAGAAAACUCUCACAUUUCUUUUUCCUAUGGCAAAGAUGGAUGGCGUCGUCAUACCUGAACAUGCUAAAUCUUUUGAAGCGCAGCAGUCUCAGCAGGAGGAACAUUAUGGUUCCCAAUCACCCCCUCGUUUUGAAAAGUUUUUGAGAUCAUUUGAAUUUGGAGAAGAAAAUCCCAAUGUGUUUGGAGAUUUGAAAGAUGACAAUGGAUCAAAUACUGGCAUUAAUUUUGAGAGUGAUGAUCCAGACAUGCCAAAUGACAUAGAUGUUGAUCCUUAUGUUCCAACAUAUCCUGGCGAGACUAUUGCUGCAACUCCGAAUGGUACACAGGAUGACAUAAAUACACAUACAAGCCUCGACGACUUGUGUCGGUCACAUCUGAAUGCUCUCCUUGCCAGCAUCGCUGAGGCUGAAAAGCAGAGUGAGAUGGAUGCUCGAGUUUCAACAUGGAAAGAAAGAAUUGAGGAUGCCUUGGAAGAGCAGGAUAAAAACCCACCUUUUGAUAUCGGUUCAUAUGGGGAGCAAAUCCUUGACACACUUUCAUCAAGAACUGACAAUACAGGAACUGCAUCUUUUAGUGAGAUUGUUAGUGGCAGACCAAAAUAUGAGGUUGCCAGAACAUUCUCUGCCCUUCUCCAGUUGGUGAACGGCAGAAGUGUUGAUCUGGACAAAGGACAAGCCACAAAUGAGUUGGUGUGUUACACAGCAGAGAAUCCAUUCCAUGUAAGGCUCAUUGGUCCCAACCGGAGGCCAGAAAUGGAGGCACACUUUGCUCGGAAGAGAGUCAAGUCCCCACUGCAAAAUGCAGGCAAAGGUGGUGAGUCCUCCCCCAAGAAGCGAGGGCUGACUACCAGAUGGGAAGCGAAGGCGAAAGUCAGCUGCUCACCUAAUGCAGCCGAUCAAUCUGGAAUCCAGAGGCCAGAAAUGGAGGCACACUUUGCUCCGAAGAGAGUCAAGUCCCCAUUGCAAAAUGCAGGCAAAGGUGGUAAGUCCUCCCCCAAGAAGCGAAGGCUGACUACCAGAUGGGAAGCGAAGGCGAAGGUUAUCUGCUCACCUAAUGCAGCCGAUCAAUCUGGAAUCUAGCGGAUGAAUGCCAAUGGCAAACUGACUCGUGGGCAUCUAGAGUCUGAUUCUUCUAAUUGUUGUGACUUCAGUGGUGGCUUCGUAGGCAGGAUUAGGUGGAAGAGAGUCAAGUCCCCAUUGCAAAAUGCAGGCAAAGGUGGUGAGUCCUCCCCCAAGAAGCGAAGGCUGACUACCAGAUGGGAAGCGAAGGCGAAGGUUAGCUGCUCACCUAAUGCAGCCGAUCAAUCUGGAAUCUAGCGGAUGAAUGCCAAUGGCAAACUGACUCGUGGGCAUCUAGGGUCUGAUUCUUCUAAUUGUUGUGACUUCAGUAGUGGCUUCGUAGGCAGGAUGGGCUGUGACGCCUAAGUUUAGACUUAGGCGUAGCUAGCGGGUGUUGUUCAUUGUGCUGUUUUGUGUGUAUUGGUAUCAGCUCUCAAGUGUAAUGCUAACAGGGCAAGCAUGAAUUGUUGGACGGACUUGCCCUUUUAUAGCGGUACGACAAUAAACUAGCGCGAUGCCAAGUCUAUUGUAUGUUGCUGGUGUUUUUAUUA